AACAGAAAAGCCCACAUCAGUGUGCAUUUGCAAUCACAAAAAUAAACGCCGGCCACAAUGACCUUGUUUUCAACAUAAACAUGAAGAUCGCAAAUGGAUGCAAUGCCACAGAGAUUUUCCCAGGACUUUUUCACAACUGCCUCGUGGCAGUGAAACGAGUUGCCAAGCAUAUUUCCCAAAAAGAGUUGGAAAUGGCUCAUUACUUGUGUUCAGACAGUUCAACUUUACAAGCAGAGCAUCUUUCUAUUUGCCCUGCAAGAUGGAAUAGGCAAAUUCAAAGGAAAAUCUCUGGAAGAAAUAACACCCAACAUCAACUCUGAGCAGGACCUGAGCGACUCAGAUGCAGAGGAAGUCCAAUCUGAGCAGACUGCAACACCAAGUCAAGAAGGAAACUCAGAGGGUGGACAUUCAGAUCACAGGGCUGCUACCUCAAAGAAGAAAACUGGGGUCAUAAAAAACUCAAAUCAAAAGGAGAAACCAAGAAGGCCCUGGUCACAGUCUGAGAGAAAAAUCGUGGAACACCAUUUCAAGGACUUCCUGGAGGAAAUGAAGCUCCCUGGAAAAGUAGACUGUCAAAGAUGCUUAAAUGAAAAUCAGACUCUAAGGGACAAUGGAAGAGACUGGAAAACCAUAAAAUACUUUCUGCACAACAAAAUAGUAUAUAUCAAAAAGAAUGUGUGCCAAGAGCGUUAAGACCAAUAAAACUGUUGGAAAAAAUGUUGUUGUACUGGAUAGUCAGGAUCCUGUAUUGGAGACUGCACUAUUCAGUAGGAAAACACACCUCAACGCAUCACAACGUCGAAGUCAUCCACAAGCGACAGCAGUCAGCGGGAAAGAGGAAGUCGGCAGCUGCCUUCACUCUCCUACCCAUCGGCUCUAUAGCCUAGUUUCUAAUGUAUUAAUAUAGUGUUUUUAAAAAAACAAAGAUACAUUUUUACAUGUAGUAAGCAUUUAGCCUCACGCUAAUUUAUCAAGACUCGAGUAGGGCUUCAUCGCCUCCUGCCUUCAGCCUCUCCAACCAUUUCAGUGCCCUGUUGGAA
Molecule: long non-coding RNA, 1040 nt
Organism: Sander lucioperca (pikeperch)
Lineage: Eukaryota; Metazoa; Chordata; Actinopteri; Perciformes; Percidae
Exons: 4
Source: RefSeq, a predicted model, not a curated record